RNAcentral lists this long non-coding RNA (641 nucleotides) under Mytilus galloprovincialis (Mediterranean mussel). Lineage: Eukaryota; Metazoa; Mollusca; Bivalvia; Mytilida; Mytilidae. The record is from RNAcentral.
GUUGACCGUGUGUACAUUUUUAGAAUGAAGCGCAGUUCAAGUAUAGUUAUUGUGAGUGGUUCAUGUCUGUCAUUAUUGUUUUUCGAAAAUGGUUUUGUUAUAAAUUAGACUGCUAGUUUUCUCUCUUGAAGUGUUUCACAUUUUUCAUCGUGGGACCUUUUUGUAGCCCGCUUUGUCACGGGUAUGAUUUUUGUUGAAUGCCGCAUGGUUAUAUACCUACAGUUGCCUCCUAGCACGUUAUUUUAACUUUUCAUUUUAAUUGCCUCAGGGUAUAUUGUAGCCUAGCAUCUCUGUGCAGCAUUUAUAUCUGAGAUUCUUAUAUGACGUCCUUCAAAUGCUUUGAGUACACUCCCGUGUUAAAAUAUGAAUUUAUCGCAACGCUGGUAAAAUAUCACGUCGUGAUUUGUUUAGCGCCGUCCCGUGGUGACCCCUAUGGAUCCGUAGUGGGGUAGUAAAUUUCAUAGGGGGUUCGUGACGCGUUAAUGGUGACGCUAUCCUCAGGGUAAAAUAUUUGUCAUCAAGGGUCAACCCGUGAUAAAAUCACGAUAUAUUCAAGCCCCCAUGAAUUAUUUCUUAAUUAGUCUAUGUUAAGCAGUUGUGUGUUUUAUCUGUAUAUUUAAACAGCAAAUUACUGAACAUUU